This 468-nucleotide ribosomal RNA is filed under the name uncultured bacterium. RNAcentral's name for it is "partial 16S ribosomal RNA". It matches the Rfam family "Bacterial small subunit ribosomal RNA", at positions 28 to 507 of the family's 1533-position model. The record is from RNAcentral.
GACGAACGCUGGCGGCGUGCUUAACACAUGCAAGUCGAACGGAAAGGCCCUGCUUUUGUGGGGUGCUCGAGUGGCGAACGGGUGCGUAACACGUGAGUAACCUGCCCUUGACUUUGGGAUAACUUCAGGAAACUGGGGCUAAUACCGGAUAGGAGCUCCUGCUGCAUGGUGGGGGUUGGAAAGUUUCGGCGGUUGGGGAUGGACUCGCGGCUUAUCAGCUUGUUGGUGGGGGAGUGGCUUACCAAGGCUUUGACGGGUAGCCGGCCUGAGAGGGUGAACGGGCACAUUGGGACUGAGAUACGGCCCAGACGCCUACGGGAGGCAGCAGUGGGGAAUAUUGCACAAUGGGCGGAAGCCUGAUGCAGCAACGCCGCGUGCGGGAUGACGGCCUUCGGGUUGUAAACCGCUUUCGCCUGUGACGAAGCGUGAGUGACGGUAAUGGGUAAAGAAGCACCGGCUAACUACGUG